CCAGGCUGUUCGGAACAGAUAACUAUAUAGGUGUGUGUUAUUAUUAUAUCUGCAGAUUAAACAGACCAUUUUAUGUAGUCAUCAACGGUGAUAGGUGAAGUUAAGUGCAAGGCAAACCAAAAAAAAACUAAGAAUAAUUCGAGGAUUUGGAUUUAUUUAGGAUUUUAGCUCAAAAUUAUUGCCAAUAUAAAUUAAAACUACAUACUUUCUACGUACGUCAAUGUCAAUGAUAUUGAUAAUUCUAUAGUCAACAAUAAGAUUUCUUCAGAUAGUUCAUCGCACGACUCCAAUACAAUGGCUACUUUCCAUGCAAUUCAGAUUACCAGACAAAAUCUACCAGUGAUUCUUUUCGUUUGGCUGAGUUUGGCAGUGAGACUGGACUUUACAACAGGUAAUCGAUGGUCAAGGCAGGUAUCGAAAAGCGAAUGGAUACCUAUGACUCAUUCACGGUCACAGUUUUCUGAAACUCCAUCGAAUCAAGUACCACUAGUUUCGUUAGUUGAAUCAUUACGUUUAUCCCCUGAGUCAAAACAACAAUAUCUCCAGGAACAAGCGCAACUGCAUAGAAGCCGAAACGGUAUUCAAAAGCUUCUUGCCAUCCAGCAGCAGCAGCACAGAAAUCAACAAGAAGUCUAUCAGGGUCACACUUACUCACCAAAUGUUGUUUCGAGUUCUAACAAGAUGGCUUUGAACCAGAACACAGUUAAUACUUACCAUGGUAUACCAAAUGUUUCUCCUGAUGUUUCGAUUCCUCCUAGAAUAAUGAGUGAUGCAUUACCAGUCUAUUCACCCUAUGAACUUACCAAAACGGGACUUCCAUCAGAACCCGAAACAUAUGACAUAACAAAAUCAAAAAGUUCAACAAUCAGUGCAGGAAUUCAAGAGAUCAGUUAUUUUCCUGAAACCAUUCCGAGUGGGCUGAAUGGAGUUGGCAAAAAUCAAAAUACCCAAGAUGAGAUACAAGUCGUGUACGUGCCAGCAGAAACACUUGUGAAAAGAGACAAAUUGAAGAAGGAUAAAAAUCAGAACCAAAAACAAAUUGAUUUCUCCCAAUCAAAAUGGUUCGAGCAUCACUCUACAUAUCCACAAAGCCACUUACCAGAAAAUAUUGUACUUAGUUCUGCUGAUCAGUAUAUUCCCGUCACUCAUCGAUUGGUAGAGUUUCCUCGUGUUUAUGACGGACAUGAUUAUUUUUUAGAAAAUUCUCGUCAAAAAGAAUUAGAACAUUCGAAUAAGUUACACUCAGAAAUGCAGAAAAAAGCAGAAUUCCAAAUGUCAGCAAGACAUCAUGAACGAGAAAGAUUUCCUCUAAGAGAAUCUGAGCAUAGACAGAACGAACAAGCUAAAGAUGCGAUUGAACGAGAUAUUGAACAGUUGCAACAGCUACAUGGAAAAUAUCAUGAACUUAAAGAUGCUGGACAGACGAAAGAAAGCGUAGUCGGAAAUAGACAACUCAAUACUGACCAAGUAACUGCUCUUGAACGACAGAAAAAUGAAGAAAAACUGACAGUAAAGAAGGAGAACGAUCGUAUGAAAAAAAUUAAUAAUCAAGGUGGGUUUACUGCUGAUACAUCAGCAGAUGAGCUUUAUUCAAAUGAUCAAAAAAAGUAUUCUACGAGGACGGAAAAUCUUUCCAACAUACUGAAAUCCCCUAAUAAUAAAUCCCAAACUAAGCUCGAUCAUCAUUACAAUUAUCAGUACGAAUCGACCAAUAAAAAUUUUCGACCAAACCAAGAUGCCCAAACCAAUCAACCAACUCCAAAUCAACCACCACUAGCUAUAUUCUUAAGAAAAGAUGACCAAACCGAUAUCAUACAAAAAGAGACUAUAGACGAUGUUCUUAAAGCCCUCAAGAAUGCCAUAACAAUUGCAGUUCUUGAUCAAGUUUCUAUUGAUGCUCCAAAAGUCUUUGUUGGACCAUCAAACUUAGAACUAUUACAAAGAUAUGCUAAAUUUGAGCUCCCUUAUUUGUCAUCUUUAGAUACAAGUCUUGUUGAAAAAAGAAUCAAUAAACUACCGUUCUUCGUAGCUCCUCUUAGUUUUAUUCCUCCUGAAGGACACUCAAAAAUUCCAUUUCCAGCACCUCAUAUUGGCUCUGUUAUAAUUAACUAUAGUGAUUUUAUUCCGUCAUCAAUGGAUAAUUUUGAAUAUUCGCUUGACUUCAAUUCAAGACCAGCUGCUGAAUUUAACUCAUUCAUAAGUAGCUCUGGACAACAAUUAUCAAUCACGCCAAACUACUGGAUUACAACCACUCCAACUUAUACUGAAUUUAUGCAAGAGUAUAUUACUCCACAAUACCAGCAGAGUACAAGCUCAUCAUCAGUUCCAAAUAGCUUUUCUAAACUCAGACAACAACCAUAUGAACAUCAGCCUAUGAACAACUUUUCGAACAAAGAGUCUCUUGUUAUGUCUCCUUUUCAGGAUAACACAACAAGUUCAGUCCAAUCACGGAUAGAAUAUUCCAAAUCAAAGCUACCUGUCUCGGAAAUAUUGAGUCCUUAUCAACAUCAAAAUAUCGAUUCGUAUAAUAAUUAUGAACGAGAUUCAGAAGUUACAACUUCGGCUUAUCGUAACCAUUUAGAAACAGAGUUUUUACAGAAUAACCAACAUGUUUAUAGCGAUAAUAACUCAUCUAACUUUCACGACAAGUACCCUAACACUAGCUCCAGCAAGCAUACCCAUUACUUAUUCGCUGAUUUAAUUAGGCCAGUAUAUAUCUCAAAUACGAAUGGUACUGAGGAAAAACAAAACAUUAAUCCGAUGGGCAGUAUGACUACAACUUCAAAUCCCAUUAUAACGACUACACUACAACCUCCAGUAACUACUCCUCAAAUCCGGAGCCGAAAAAGAAAUAAGAGUACUGUUCAACCUAUUAUUACUCCUAUCAUCAAUACAACAACUCGUUCAAGGAUUGCUAAAGAUCAGACUGAUUCAUCACGUGAGCCUUUCAAUUACUCUCGCUCGAGAUCAACGAGCAUCACCGAAGAAUAUAGUAAAGACUCAAGUGAACCAAAACUAUCUGAAGGGUUGGAAACUGCUAAGCAAUCAUCUAUUACGAAUCAAUUCCGUCGCCCAGAUACAACAAAAAGACAUAAACUCAAACCCCUUAAUAACACUGCUUACGUGGCCACGAAUAAAGAACUUGAUCAUCCUGCUGAUAAUAAAAAACAUUCAACCGAUUCUCAAGACCCAGUACCUUCUGUUGGAAAAAAUCAAAAUUAUCUAAGGAUAUCAAACAUAUCGUCAGAUUCACGUAUUCAGCAGUCGAAUUUCCACAUGGCUAAGACACAUAGUAGAGAUCCGUAUCAAAAAGAAAUUAUCCACCCAGUGUCUUAUGGAGCUGUUGAUCAAACUUCAUCAACUUUGCAAUUAAAAAUAAAUCAUAAUCCUCAAAUCAAUUAUAGACAUAAUGAAACUCUGGAAAAUUCUUCACUCUUUAUGGCAGAGCCCACGAAGACAAGUUCUGAAGGAAUAAUAUCAACUAGCGAAAUAGCAACAACAAUAAAAACAAUGACCCCAGCAACUAUUUCAACUCGACACCGUGUUCAUACUCGUUUAAGCUCUCAAACACGAAAACAAUCUCCGAUUCAAGAACAGUCUAAUAAAUUGCAGAGAAAGUACGUAAUAUUUAAUGGAAUAAAUCAAGAAACGAGUGAUAUUUUACCAUCUUCAAACGGCUAUCAGCUAGAUUCUGGCCAAUCCAGAAAUGGGACUUAUCCUCAUCAACAGAAAGAAGUGCAGAGUGGAGGUGACAACUAUGUAAGAAUUAAAUCGUCAAGUCGAUCUAAAAAUCAAAAAUUAGUAGUGCAAACGCCUAGAUCAAGAGUAGAACUUAUGAUAGAACCUCAAACUCCUGCACCAUUUACAACGAAAGAAGAGUUUCAGGAAGCUAACUUUGGAGAUGAUUCUGCUUAUCUACCUAUUUCCAAUCAUUCAGAAAGUCAGGCGGGUAGUAAACUAAAAACACUUGCUUCACAAAUUCAAUUAAAAAAUAUCACACGAACAAAUAUUACUGCUGAAGAUUCUAGUUCUAUUCGAGCUCCCACCUUAAAUUAUCGUCGAAAGUAUCCUGUACGUAACCAGUCUCUUCAUAUGAUUAAAUCAUCAGCUGAUUCAAUGACAACCACGCUACCUAGUAUUGAUUACACUAUUCAAUUUCGAGUUGAAAAUAAUGAAUCAAAAAAUAAAACUCGCAUUAAGUCACGUCGUCUCAGUGCUCGAAGACGCUCAACUUCAACCGUAAGUCCAAAUUUAACAACAAUAGAUGAUACGAAUAACAGAAAAAUAAGCUUGCUAAGAGAUGAAAAUUACCCCGAAAGUCUUUUGGCUCGUACCAAAAGUUCUAUUGAUCGCCAGUCUGUCGACAGCCAUCAGGAAAACCACAAAACCAUGCAUGAAUCAAAGAACUAUACUGCUGAAAAUAUUUUCCAUUGCCUCGGAAACGCGGACUGCGCUCCGUUCCUACAGAACAAUCGGGAAUACUAUAUAUGGCUCAGUCCACGUGUUAUUUAAAUUCAAAAAAUAGAUUCAUGGCGGAUGUUUACCAAGUCAACACUGACAUUCAGGCGAGAAGAUGUUGGUACCGAGGCUACUCAAAAACUAGUGAUAGAAGUAGCUCGAAGGCAAAAAGUAAGGAUUCCUGUCGAGCCUCUUACAUCUAAUGAGUUUAUAACCACUGAAUCUAAAUAUAUGAAUUUAGAAAAAGAG
Molecule: unclassified non-coding RNA, 4707 nt
Filed under: Aphidius gifuensis
Lineage: Eukaryota; Metazoa; Arthropoda; Insecta; Hymenoptera; Braconidae
Description: uncharacterized LOC122849085, transcript variant X6
Source: RNAcentral